GUGCAGCAGUCACGAAACCUUCGCAAUGCAGGAAACUGCGACGAGGGAACUCCAAGUGCCUACGCUCAGCGUAGGCUGUUCUCAAGCCUAGAAAGCUUGAGGAGUAAGGGCUGGGUAAGACGGGUGCCAUCUGUGGUAGCAGUCAAUAGAUUCGAUUUGUUACUGCAAGGCAUAAGCCGCCGCGGUAAUACCCGCAGCCCAAGUGGUGGCCGCUUUUUAUUGGGCCUAAAGCGUCCGUAGCCGGCCCGGUAAAUGCCUGGGUAAAUCGUGGAGCCCAACUUCACGAAUUCCGGGUAGACUGCCGAGCUCGGGGACCGGAAGAGGGAGAGGGUACUUCCAGGGGUAGGGUGAAAAUUUCCGUUUCCAUUAACGCUUUGCGCGAAGCGGAAAGGGUUAUCACAAUCCUGUAAUCCC
RNAcentral lists this ribosomal RNA (414 nucleotides) under uncultured microorganism. Its description in RNAcentral is "bacterial SSU rRNA". It matches the Rfam family "Archaeal small subunit ribosomal RNA", at positions 330 to 649 of the family's 1478-position model. The record is from RNAcentral.